CCAAAUCUUAAUUGAGCUUUAUUUUUAAGAUCUUGCUAUUUUCUUCAUUCAAGGUUACUUCUGAAUAUGUCUUUUUUUUUAGGGCGGCACCAACGGCAUAUGGAGGUUCCCAGGAAGACAUUAAAAAAUAAAAUAAAAUACAGCUUUACUAGUUACCUGGGAGAUAUACUUAGGGGCUUUUUAAAAAUUAAAAUAUAAAAACAGCAUACAAUGCUUAAACAGAGUGGGUUAGAGUUCAGUUCAUCUCAGAAAUUGAACCUGACUGAUAUGAAAGCCCAAAAACUAUUCAGGUCCAAUCAUCCGAAAGAUUACUAUUCACAACAGUAUCAGUGACUGUGGUACUCAAAGAGCUUCCAGUUAAAUCUAUCAGAGAAAGUAAAAAGGAGUGUUUUGAUUUUUGCAAACACAGAAUAAUCUCAUCCCAAGGUCUUCAAAAGUAUCCUUUAAUAUACGGCAUGGAUCUACAAAAUUAGAACAAUAUUAAUCUUACCUAAUAAGGCUGCUGUAAGAUUAAAUCGAGACAUAUUAUGUGUGAAUACGUUUUGAAGAAUUAGUAAGUCUUACACAAUGUUAGAUAUUUUAUAAGCCUAUGUGGACAAAUGAAUUAAACCAAUAAUUAUAAAAAUUAACAACCUAUUUUGUUAAGAAACACUGAGCAAAAAGUACAUUAACUGUAGUUCCUCUUUUUUAAAAAAAAUGAUCUAAAAAUAAAAUCACAAAAGACUUUCCUAUCAUUAUAUUACCCUUGUGAAUUCUUCUACCUUCAUGUACACAGAGCUUUAAUUAACUAAGUAGUAUAUACCCUCAUGGAACCCACAUCUUCAUAAGGCCAUAGUAUUAAAGAAAUACUACUGUUAGUUGUGGAAUGAUCAAAUUAAUUAAAGAAUAUUUCAUCAAAGAAACUGUUACUAUUAGCUGUGAGACUAUCAAAACAAAUAAAAUUCCCGUUCAGUUAAGUAGCCUUCAAUACAAUAAAGGAAAUAAAACAUACACACAAAUAAGUGGAAUACAAGUUGAAUGAUGAAAAGUUCCGUAACAGCUAUGUAAGCAAAGUUCAACAGAAGUUCAGAGACAGGAGAAGUUAUUUCUAGCGAGGGGGAGAGUACAGAAAGAGAUGUUAGGGGAAAAAGUCCUAUUUGUGCUGGGUCCUAAAGGAUGAGGAGGAUGUUGAAACAUUCCUAAAUAAAACACACACUUCCCUGGAAGAAAAAUACCUCCCGUUCACUGGGGGGGAAAAAACGAUUAUCUCAUUAAGUAGUACCAACAUCCCUCCAAUAUGUAUUUCCCACUGAACUAGAAGUUCCCCUUUUCACAUCUCCCUAUCCUUCCCCACAAUCCCAGUGCUCGUAUCUAUCACCAUAUCUUAUCCAUUUCAACCUCCUGUAUCUCUCUCCAAGCUGCCCACCCUUCUCUUCUCCAUCAUCAUCAUCUCCCUAGUCUGAAUUACCAUCGUCUCUUGCCCAUAUUACAAUCAGCUUCUGACUGGUCUCCCUGAUCCUCACCAAUUUGUCUUCUACACUGAAAAUACUGUGGUCUUUUCUAAAGCAAAUACACCAGUCAUCACUGUCAGACCCCAAUUCUUCACACACGGUUACUGGUCUAGCCUCCUUUUAUAACACAUGCCCGCUCACAAUUUCUGAUCCAGCCACUCCCGUCUUUCCUGAGUCUUAGGCUCACUAACAGCAGGACCUCUGCACAUGCUGCCCUCUUCAUCUGGAACACGUGCCCACUCUUAACUCCCGUCUCCUUGAUAACUCCUACUCACCCCUUAGAUCUUAGUCCCUCAAGAAAGUCUUCUCUAUUCUCCCAAACUAAAUUAGACCAUUUAGUUACACACUCUUAAGAAGCUGUAUAAUUUCUGAGGUAGUAUUUGUUACAACUGUAAUUUUAUAUUUAUUUGGUAUUUAAUUAACAAUUACCUCCCUGAUUAAACUGUAAGCACCAUUAGGAUAGGGUUCACAAAUAAUUUUGCCUUAGGUUAGACCUGCCAACAAAUCUUAUCUGUUCCCACGUCGAUGUUUUCUUUUCAGUCAAAGUAUUUAUGGUGAACCAUGGAGAGGCGUCACUGUCCUGCCUACUAAAACAUGCAGUCUGUAAACCAAAUGCAGGCCCCUCACCACUUCCCCUCCCCGCACUGUUGCUUCCCAAUGUCUAUUUGGCAAAAAUUACUUCAUUUUUUAACCUAAUAAUAAGCAUGAUUUACUAGCUUAACUGCCUGUUAGUAAGAGGCUUAAGAAGUUUAGUCUAAACCUAGAAAAAGUGACUCUGCUUGCCAAAAAGUAUCUUCAGAAAAGGGGGAGAGAAGUGUUUCAGUGAUUUAUUCAGGUCAAAUAAACAUUCCCAACUUCCACUCCACCAUUUAUAGGAAGAGAUGUGCUGUGAAAUGUGUCAUCAGGGCUUAUGCCAUUAACAGUCUGUAGUGUAUUUGGAGGAAUCUGAAGUAGGAGAUGAAGUUUUUUUAUUGUAUUGAAUCAGAUGGCUACAUGGGCGAUACUAAGGAGAUACAAUGACCUCUUUGGAGCACUGACUUUAAAUAAGAAAAAGGCAUUAAAGAAACCCAACUUGCCAAAGCUUUAGUAGCUCACGAUCACACCUCCAUGAAGAGGUCAAAACAGCAGAUUGGAAACUGCACAAAGAACAGAAGAUGACGGCUGAUUUGCUCUAGGGCGAGUUGUCAUUCAGGCUCAAACCAGAUAGAGAGACACUUCAAUCAGUCAAGAUGGAUUAGCAAAGAAUAGAUUUACCCUUCUGCCUGAAACAACUAAAAUUAUUAUUUUCCCAUAUUAUUUAAAUCUUUUUAAAAGACAGUCAACUAUUUGAAGCAAAAAAUAAUCUUUUUUUGUGGGGUUUGUAAGUAAAACAUAAGAAAACAACGACACAAAAGCCAGAAAGUGAAAAAUGUUAACUUUAAUUUUAUAAGGUUCUUUUACUAUCCAUGAAGUAAUAUAUUACCACUGGAAGGCAGACUACUACAAGUUAAAAGAUGUACACUAUAUGAAAUAAAAAGCAAUCUCUAAAGUAAACAAAGUAGAAAGUGGAAUUAUAAAAAAUACACAAUGAAUGCAAAAAACAUUAAAAGUAAAAAAAGAUUUAAAAAAAUAUAUGACAAAUAAAGCCUAAAUAGUAAGAUAGUAGAUUUAAACCCAACCAUUCAAAUUAAACCCAGUCACAUUAAACAUAAUCCCAUUAAAUAUAAAUUGUCUAAAUACCUCAAUGGAAAGGUGAAUAAAAGAUCAAGACUCAACUAACUGCUGCCUACAAGAAACCCACUUUAAAUAUAAGGACACAAGUGGGUAAAAGUAAAAGGAUGGGAGUUUCCAUUGUGGCUCAGCAGAAAUGAAUCUGACUAGGAUCCAUGAGGAUGCAGGUUCUAUCCCUGGUCUCGCUCAGUGGUUUAAGGAUUCGGCACUGCCGAAUCUGGCGUUACUGGCGUUACUGUGGUGUGGGCCAGCUCCUACAGCUCCAAUUCAACCCCUAGCCUGGGAACCUCCACAUACCUCCGAUGCAGCCCUAAAAAGACCAAAAAAAAAGUAAAAGGAUGGAAAAAGAUAUUCCAUGCUAACACAAAUCACAAGAAAGCUAGAGUGGCUAUAUGAAUACCAGAUAAAGUAGAUUCCAGAAUAAAGAAUAUCACAGUGAUAAGGAAGACCAUUUCAUAAUGAUAAAGAAUACAAUAAUACUAUUUCUUCAUCAGGAGGACAUGAUACACAUAAACGUUUAUGCUCCUAAUAACAAAGCUUCAAAAUACAUGAAGAAAAACCUUAUAGAACUACAGAGAAAAAAUAGACAAAACUACAAUUAUACCAAAGACUUCAACAAAUCACUCAACAAUUGAUAGCAAAUCAGGCAGAAUACAGAAGAUCUGCACAACAUCAUUAAUCAACUAGACCGAAUAGAUAUUUAUCAAACCCUCCACUCCACAACAGCAAACACACAUUUGUUUUAAGUGCACACUAUAUUCUAGGCCAUAAAAUAAGUCUCAGUAAAUUUAAAAGGAUUCAAACCAUACAAAGCAUAUGACGUGACCACAAAUUAGAAAUCAGUAACAAAAAGAUAUCUGGAAAAUCCUCAAAUAUUUGUAAACUAUGUAACACACUUCCAUAAAGCCCAUGAGCUGGAGUUCCUGCUGUGGCACCAAGGGAUUUGCAGCAUUUCCACAGCUCCAAGACACAGGUUCAAUCCUCGGCCCAACACAAUGUGUUAAAGGAUUCCUGCAGACACAACAAAGGGUGCAGCUGAGGCUUGGAUCUGAUCCUUGGCCUGGGAACUCCACAUUCCACAGGGCGGCCAAAAAAAAAAAAAGCUUAUGAGUCAAAGAUGAUAUCAAAAAAAUUGAGAAAUUAUUUUGAAUUGAAUGAAACACCCUUCCAAAAACACAUUUGUGGGCUGCAACUAAUACAAGACUCAGAGGAACAUUUACAUGGAAACAUCUUUAUUAUAAAAGAAGAAAAGUCACCAAUCAAUGACCUCAGUGUCUACAUUAAGAAACUAGCAAAGGGAUAACAAAUGAACCCAAAGUAAACAGAAGAAAGGAAAGAAUAAAGGUCAGAAGAGAAAUCAGUAAAAUUUGAAAGGAAAAAGGAAGGAAAAAAGCCAAUGAAAUCAAAAGCUGAUUCUCCAAUCAAUAAAAUUGAUAAAACUAAACCAGACUAACGGGAGGAUAAAACAGGGAAGAUACAAGUUUACAGUAUCAGGAAUGAGAGAGGUAACAUCAUUAAAGAUUCUGAAGUUAUUAAAAGGACAAGGAAAUAGCAUAAACAGUUUUGGGCUUAUAAAUCUGACAACUCAGACAAAAUGGACACAAUCCUUCAAAGACACAAACAAGGAAAAUUCAUCAAGAAGGAGUUCCCACUGUGCCUCGGUGGGAACGAAUCCAACUAGUAUCCAUGAUGAUGUAAGUGGGUUAGAUCCCUGGUCCUGCUCAGUGGGUUAAGGAUCUAGCGUUGCCGUAAGCUGUGGUGCAGAUCUCAGAUGCAGCUCAGAUCUGGCAUUGCUAUGGCUGUGGCACAGGCCAGCCACUGUGGCUCUGACUGGACCCCUAGCUGGGGAACUUUCAUCCACGUGCCACAGAUGUGACCCUAAAAAAAGAAAAAAAAAAUUCAUCAAGAACAAAUGAGUAGGAGUUCCCAUUGUGGCCCAACAGAAAAGAAUCCGACUAGUAACCAUGAGGUUGAGGGUUCAAUCCCUGGCCUCGCUCAAUGAGUUAAGGGUCCAGCAUUGCUGUGAGCUGUGGUGUAGGUCACAGACAUGGCUCAGACCCUGCACUGCUGUGGCUGUGGUAUAGACAGCCAC
RNAcentral lists this long non-coding RNA (5292 nucleotides) under Sus scrofa (pig). RNAcentral describes it as "lncRNA (ENSSSCG00030025256.1)". Lineage: Eukaryota; Metazoa; Chordata; Mammalia; Artiodactyla; Suidae. The record is from RNAcentral.